Molecule: ribosomal RNA, 611 nt
Filed under: uncultured bacterium
Lineage: Bacteria
Description: bacterial SSU rRNA
Rfam family: Bacterial small subunit ribosomal RNA
Source: RNAcentral
GUACGAGAAAGGGUCCCUCGGGACCUGAGUAAAGUGGCGCACGGGUGAGUAACGCGUGGAUAAUCUGCCCUUCAGUUGGGAAUAACUCAUCGAAAGGUGGGCUAAUACCGAAUAAUGCUGUGAGACUUCGGUCGAUCAGCCAAAGAGAGCCUCUGCUUGCAUGCCCUUGCUGAAGGAUGAGUCCGCGUACCAUUAGCUAGUUGGUAGGGUAAUGGCCUACCAAGGCGACGAUGGUUAGCUGGUCUGAGAGGAUGAUCAGCCACACUGGAACUGAGACACGGUCCAGACUCCUACGGGAGGCAGCAGUGAGGAAUCUUGCGCAAUGGGGGAAACCCUGACGCAGCAACGCCGCGUGAGUGAGGAAGGUCUUCGGAUCGUAAAGCUCUGUCGGAUGGAAAGAACCGCAUAGGGGUAAAUAGCACCUAUGUCUGACGGUACCAUCAAAGGAAGCACCGGCUAACUCCGUGCCAGCAGCCGCGGUAAUACGGGGGGUGCAAGCGUUGUUCGGAAUUAUUGGGCGUAAAGAGCGUGUAGGCGGCCUGAUGUGUCAGAUGUGAAAGCCCUGGGCUUAACCCAGGAAGUGCAUUUGAAACUGUCAGGCUUGAGUAGGG